RNAcentral lists this ribosomal RNA (492 nucleotides) under uncultured bacterium. RNAcentral describes it as "bacterial SSU rRNA". It matches the Rfam family "Bacterial small subunit ribosomal RNA", at positions 10 to 518 of the family's 1533-position model. The record is from RNAcentral.
AGUUUGAUUAUGGCUCAGGACGAACGCUGGCGGCGUGCCUAACACAUGCAAGUCGAGCGAGGAGAUCCCUUCGGGGAUGAACCUAGCGGCGGACGGGUGAGUAACACGUGGGCAACUGCCUUAUAGAGGGGAAUAGCCUUCCGAAAGGAAGAUUAAUACCGCAUAACAUUACAUUUUCGCAUGAAGAAGUAAUUAAAGGAGUAAUCCGCUAUAAGAUGGGCCCGCGGCGCAUUAGCUAGUUGGUGAGGUAACGGCUCACCAAGGCGACGAUGCGUAGCCGACCUGAGAGGGUGAUCGGCCACAUUGGGACUGAGACACGGCCCAGACUCCUACGGGAGGCAGCAGUGGGGAAUAUUGCACAAUGGGGGAAACCCUGAUGCAAGCAACGCCGCGUGAGUGAUGAAGGUCUUCGGAUCGUAAAGCUCUGUCUUCAGGGACGAUAAUGACGGUACCUGAGGAGGAAGCCACGGCUAACUACGUGCCAGCAGCCGC